UGCCUGUGAUGAGUAACCAUGCUAAUGCCGAUUCACCACACUGGGCCACUGUGUCAAGUUGUGGGUGAGUAUGAGUUUAAAUCUACUUUCCAUGGUGAAACCUGAGGCUG
This is a small nucleolar RNA of Protopterus annectens (West African lungfish), 110 nucleotides long. The record is from RefSeq and is a predicted model, not a curated record. Lineage: Eukaryota; Metazoa; Chordata; Ceratodontiformes; Protopteridae.